GUAUGAACCAAGGAGACAGCAUCCCUACUGGAGUCUGCUCUGAAGUGGUUUGUACCCAAACCGAUUCUGGGGCCACUUUCAGAGAUGAGCGAAUCAACGGCUGUGAGGAUUCCAGUGCACGUGUCAGCCAGUGGGAGCCACCGGCUUCUCUUACGUCUUCAAAGAUGGCCGCGUUGGCGACAACUGCGAAUGCCAAUACGUGGAGGAAGACGGUGAGAUGAAGUACAAGACCAGCUGCGGAGGGAUGUAAAACAAGGGAGAAUACCGGGCCUAAUGUCCUGAAAUCAUGUUCAAUAAAAAUGGACAAACAACA
Liolophura sinensis is the source of this 313-nucleotide long non-coding RNA. RefSeq lists it as uncharacterized. The transcript is spliced from 2 exons. The record is from RefSeq and is a predicted model, not a curated record. Lineage: Eukaryota; Metazoa; Mollusca; Polyplacophora; Chitonida; Chitonidae.